AAUGAAAUUAGUGUCUCGUGCUUGGAAAGCAGCUAUUGUAAGUGCUGAACUGUUCAAUGUGAGAAAAGAACUUGGAACAACUGAGGAGUGGCUCUAUAUAUUAAUGAAAGUUGAAGAUGAAAAAUAUUUAUGGUAUGCCUUGGAUCCAUUGUCCCGAAGGUGGCAAAGGUUGCCGACAAUGCCUGGUGUUUCAUUUGAAGAUGAGCCCAAGAAGGGUUUGGCUGCGCUUCGAAUGUGGAAUGUAGUGGGUUCGAGUAUCAAAAUUGCAGACACGGUUAUGAGUUGGCUUAGAAAGAAGGGGACACUGGACCGAUUACCCUUUCAUGGCAGUGCUGUUGGAGCUAUUGAUGGUUGCCUCUAUGUGUUAGGGGGACUCUCUAAAGCUUCAGCCAUGAGAAAUGUGUGGCAGUAUAAUCCUAUUCUAAAUGCUUGGAGUGAGAUGAAUCCAAUGUCCAUUGGUAGAGCUUUUUGUAAGACAGGCAUCUUAAACAACAAGCUUUAUGUUGUUGGAGGAGUUACUAAAGGCCGUGGUGGACUGACCUCACUUCAAUCUGCAGAAGUGUUUGAUCCUCGUACUGGUGUCUGGUCCGAAAUUCCAAGCAUGCCUUUUUCAAAGGCUCAGGUAUUGCCUACUGCUUUUCUGACAGAUUUGCUCAAGCCCAUUGCAACAGGAAUGACAUCAUACAGAGGAAGGUUAUUUGUGGCUCAGAGUUUAUAUUGCUGGCCUUUUUUUGUUGUUUUUGUUGAUGUUGGCGGAGAGGUUUAUGAUCCGGAGUUGAAUUCUUGGGAUGAAAUGCCAAAUGGAAUGGGUGAAGGUUGGCCAGUAAAGCAGGCAGGAACAAAACUGAGUGU
This 852-nucleotide unclassified non-coding RNA is filed under the name Hevea brasiliensis (rubber tree). Lineage: Eukaryota; Viridiplantae; Streptophyta; Magnoliopsida; Malpighiales; Euphorbiaceae. The record is from RNAcentral.